GUGGGGAAUCUUGCGCAAUGGGGGCAACCCUGACGCAGCGACGCCGCGUGGAGGACGAAGUCUUUCGGGAUGUAAACUCCUGUCAGUGGGGACGAUAAUGACGGUACCCACAGAGGAAGCACCGGCUAACUCCGUGCCAGCAGCCGCGGUAAGACGGAGGGUGCAAGCGUUGUUCGGAAUUACUGGGCGUAAAGCGUAUGUAGGCGGCAAGUUAAGUUCAAUGUUAAAGCCCACGGCUCAACCGAGGAGAUGCAUUGAAUACUGGCUAGCUAGAGGGUGUUAGAGGAAGACGGAAUUCCCAGUGUAGCGGUGAAAUGCGUAGAUAUUGGGAGGAACAUCGGUAGCGAAAGCGGUCUUCUGGGACAUACCUGACGCUGAGGUACGAAAGCGUGGGGAGCAAACGGGAUUAGAAACCCGGGUAGUCC
RNAcentral lists this ribosomal RNA (425 nucleotides) under uncultured bacterium. Its description in RNAcentral is "partial 16S ribosomal RNA". It matches the Rfam family "Bacterial small subunit ribosomal RNA", at positions 354 to 796 of the family's 1533-position model. The record is from RNAcentral.